This 640-nucleotide ribosomal RNA is filed under the name Globisporangium irregulare. RNAcentral's name for it is "eukaryotic LSU rRNA". The stretch from base 94 to 248 matches the Rfam family "5.8S ribosomal RNA". The record is from RNAcentral. Lineage: Eukaryota; Oomycota; Peronosporomycetes; Pythiales; Pythiaceae.
UUGCGUGCGCGGCUGACCUAUUUUUUUCAAACCCCAUACGUAAAUGACUGAAUAUACUGUGAGAACGAAAGUUCUUGCUUUUAACUAGAUAACAACUUUCAGCAGUGGAUGUCUAGGCUCGCACAUCGAUGAAGAACGCUGCGAACUGCGAUACGUAAUGCGAAUUGCAGAAUUCAGUGAGUCAUCGAAAUUUUGAACGCAUAUUGCACUUCCGGGUUAUACCUGGAAGUAUGUCUGUAUCAGUGUCCGUAAAUCAAACUUGCGUUUCUUCCUUUCCGUGUAGUCGGUGGAGGAGAGUUGCAGAUGUGAAGUGUCUCGCUGUGGUUGGUGUUUGUUGUUUGCAAUGAAUGCACAGCUUGCGAGUCCUUUUAAAUGGACACGACUUUCUCUUUUUUGUAUGUGCGCGGUGCUGUGCGUGAACGCGGUGGUUUUCGGAUCGCUCGCGGCUGUCGGCGACUUCGGUGAAUGCAUAAUGGAGUGGACCUCGAUUCGCGGUAUGUUGGGCUUCGGCUGGACAAUGUUGCUUAUUGUGUGUCUGUUCCGUGUUCGCCUUGAGGUGUACUGGUGGCUGUGGGAUUGAACUGGUUACUGUUGUUAGUAGUGUGUGUGGCACGUUGUCGUGGAUGCAUCUGUCUUUUUG